Peromyscus maniculatus bairdii (prairie deer mouse) is the source of this 1196-nucleotide non-coding RNA. The record is from RefSeq and is a predicted model, not a curated record. Lineage: Eukaryota; Metazoa; Chordata; Mammalia; Rodentia; Cricetidae.
UCAUCCCAUUCUUCCUGAGGCUCAGUAACCCAUGCUCCUGUUUGCCAUUGAGCAUGAACAUGAACAGUGUCGGGGCACAGCUCUCAAUGGUGACCGUGGCUUUCCCAUUCACUGUGGAGAGGAAGUCCGGGUCAGGGCUGCGGGCUUCGUGGGAAGAGCUCCGUGCCUGUCUCAGAGAACCCUUGGCAGAAGUGUGCUGAGCAUCUCGGAGGAGGUGAAGCACUGGGGACCCCAAAGGCCUUCUGGAGGAGGCAUCCCAGAGAACAGCAAGUGGGAGGAGAAGAUGGAGAAUCUGAGCAUAUAGCUGCUGGCAGUGAGGCUCCUUAGGACCUGCCCCUUCUCACACAUGGCCUAGGUCAAACCCGAGGGGCUCCUGGGUUUAGCUGGAAGGGGCACCAUGGGGAGUCCGAGGAGAGAUCUAGUCGUGGAAAGGUGAGAAGCUCCAGCUCCUCAUAAGUGAUCCAGAACCAGCUUUGGGGAAGGCAACUGUACCUAGGCAAGGCUGUCCAGCCUUCCUCUUCCACUUGGCCCUUCCUUCCCCUCCCCCACAGGAUGCCUCCCUCCUUCGACCUGUGCCCCCCACCCUACACACAGACCAGACACUUGGCAAAGGGGAGCCUCGUACUUACAGAAAGGUAAAUUUGGAGGUGGUAGUGUCCACCAGGCCACUACCCCAGGUGCUGUCCAGCAGGUGCCAAUGGCCCUCGAGGUACACAGCAUUCCAGGCAUGGUCGAACUCUCCAGAGAAGCUUUGUCCGGUCUGGUAGCCAAAGCCCUUGGAGUAGCCAGGCACGGUGACACAGUGUACACCAGCGAUCCUGGAGGAGGGACAUGGGUCUGAGACGGGGCUGGAGUGCUGGGGGUGGGGACAGGAAGCCAUGGUGCUGGCAGGCCCUGCCUGUGCAGACCGGCUGCAGCCCUGCUGUUUGCUACUCCCCUGAGACGCUUCAACUCACUUCUGAAGUGUCUCCCCAGGGCCUGCUUGACAUGAUCCGCUGCACCGUUCCUCAGGAGGAAAAAUGAGGACAAGCGUGAGGGUGGCCUCCAGAACACAGGGAGCAGGGAAACCAAGAUGCUCUUGGAAGAAAACCAACACAAAAGAGCUGUGCACAGAGGCUGGGAAAGCCAGGACACCUCAGGAGGGUGCAGGAGGGAACAGAAAGCACCAUGCUGCAUUAAUGUCUUUCACUGCCUGC